This 246-nucleotide ribosomal RNA is filed under the name uncultured bacterium. RNAcentral's name for it is "partial small subunit ribosomal RNA". It matches the Rfam family "Bacterial small subunit ribosomal RNA", at positions 26 to 285 of the family's 1533-position model. The record is from RNAcentral.
AGGACGAACGCUGGCGGCGUGCUUAACACAUGCAAGUCGAACGAGGUGCUUGCACCUAGUGGCGAACGGGUGAGUAACACGUGAGCAAUCUGCCCUUGGCUCUGGGAUAGCCUCCGGAAACGGGGAUUAAUACCGGACAUGACCUUCUUCCGCAUGGUGGAGGGUGGAAAGUUUUUCGGCCAGGGAGGGGCUCGCGGCCUAUCAGCUUGUUGGAGGGGUAACGGCCCACCAAGGCGACGACGGGUA